CCUACGGGGUGCAGCAGUGAGGAAUAUUGGUCAAUGGUCGGGAGACUGCACCAGCCAAGCCGCGUGAGGGAGGAAGGUACAGCGUAUCGUAAACCUCUUUUGUCAGGGAACAAGUGCGGGGACGUGUCCCCUGAUGAGUGUACCUUAAGAACAAGCAUCGGCUAACUCCGUGCCAGCAGCCGCGGUAAUCCGGGGGAUGCGGGCUUUAUCCGGAUUUAUUGGGUUUAAGGGGUGCGCAGGGGGGCUGUUAAGUCCGCGGUCAAAGCCCGGGGCUCAACCCCGGCCCGCCGUUGAAACUGGCAGUCUGGAGUGGGAGAGAAGUAUGCGGAAUGCGCGGUGUAGCGGUGAAAUGCAUAGAUAUCGCGCAGAACUCCGAUUGCGAAGGCAGCAUGCCGGCUCCACACUGACGCUGAGGCACGAAAGCGUGGGUAUCGAACAGGAUUAGAUACCCGAGUAGUC
RNAcentral lists this ribosomal RNA (459 nucleotides) under uncultured bacterium. RNAcentral describes it as "partial 16S ribosomal RNA". It matches the Rfam family "Bacterial small subunit ribosomal RNA", at positions 338 to 795 of the family's 1533-position model. The record is from RNAcentral.